CCUACGGGUGGCUGCAGUGGGGAAUAUUGGACAAUGGGCGAAAGCCUGAUCCAGCCAUGCCGCGUGUGUGAAGAAGGCCUUCGGGUUGUAAAGCACUUUCAGUGGGGAAGAAAGCCUUGGGGCUAAUACCCUCGAGGAAGGACAUCACCCACAGAAGAAGCACCGGCUAACUCCGUGCCAGCAGCCGCGGUAAUACGGAGGGUGCGAGCGUUAAUCGGAAUUACUGGGCGUAAAGCGCGCGUAGGCGGUCUGAUAAGCCGGUUGUGAAAGCCCCGGGCGCAACCUGGGAACGGCAUCCGGAACUGUCAGGCUAGAGUGCAGGAGAGGAAGGUAGAAUUCCCGGUGUAGCGGUGAAAUGCGUAGAGAUCGGGAGGAAUACCAGUGGCGAAGGCGGCCUUCUGGACUGACACUGACGCUGAGGUGCGAAAGCGUGGGUAGCAAACAGGAUUAGAUACCCUAGUAGUC
Molecule: ribosomal RNA, 465 nt
Filed under: Vreelandella stevensii
Lineage: Bacteria; Pseudomonadati; Pseudomonadota; Gammaproteobacteria; Oceanospirillales; Halomonadaceae
Description: partial 16S ribosomal RNA
Rfam family: Bacterial small subunit ribosomal RNA
Source: RNAcentral